Small nuclear RNA from Perognathus longimembris pacificus (Pacific pocket mouse), 189 nucleotides. RefSeq annotates it as U2 spliceosomal RNA. Lineage: Eukaryota; Metazoa; Chordata; Mammalia; Rodentia; Heteromyidae. The record is from RefSeq and is a predicted model, not a curated record. The transcript has a single exon.
ACCACUUCUUUGGACUCUUGACUAAGAUCAAGUAUAGUACCUAUUUUUAUCAAUUUAUUAUUUCAUACUUCCUCUAUCCAAAGGCAUUGUAUUAAAUAGAUUUUGGAACAGAGAAGUGGAAAAAGAGCUUGCUAUCCACUGUACUCAUCAGCCUACUAUGAAAGUACCUCCAAGAAUGGAGUAUCCAUU